AUCGCUGUAAAAGCGGUUGGCAUCGGAAGCACUAUACAGCCGCUAUUGGAACCUAAAGCAUCGGCAGCCGAAAACUUUCGGUCAUCUCCGAUAAUUUCCGCGUUUCGCCGAACAACGCCAACACUUCCUGUCGUCACAGCGAGCGAAAAAUGGCUGCCGACAGAGGAGAAGAGAAAAGGAUACACUUACCAGACCAUCAUGUUUGUUUUGGGAAAUACACAGUCGCCGAGUGUGCUGGGAUCUGGUGGACGGAUGGGCGAGAUGUCUGACAGUUGUGACCUCCCUACUGUUCCCGAAACUCCGUCGACAGAGAUUAUACAUGGAGUCUGACCAAUACCAAAGUCUUCCAAUGUGCCAGAGUCACCAGCUGUGAUUCUCACACAAAGAGGUCAGUCUGCAGAAGUGUUCAAGACUUGAGCAACAAGAUGACACAAGUUUCCUGGUAGUGUCUCACUUAGAUGAGACACUGAUCAAGCUUCCAGGAUAGAUGAGACAUUGUUUGUUGCAGCAGCGACUGAGCACAAACCAUCUUUACAGUGUGGGACCUGAGGGAAGAUUGUCAAGACCUAAGGCUCCUUGAACCUGCAAGUGAGGCGCCACACUAAAGAUGUCAAAUUCUCAUGUGAAUUGUGUGGGACGUUUUUCCUUAUCAACCAAACGCUGGAGGAACAUGUUGCUAAAGUACACAAACAGAUUGGUGUUGUCAAGUGCAAGGUUUGCAGUAUAGUUACAACAUUUCGGGGUAUGGAGGAAUACAAGUCUGCUCCAUGAUGAGCAUGCACCCAAAUACAGGUUGUGGUAAACUCAUAACAUAAUCUGUCAUGACAUUUUUUCAUUGGUAGAAUGAAUGACCAUGGCCAGUUGUCAGAUCCCAAAUACGUAAUUUGGAAACCCGACUUAUAAUUGCCACGAUAACCAUACCACCUUUGCUUAUUUGAAGUUCAUUUGUUUAGAUUUAGUAAUAGAAUUUCCUCAAAUG
Haliotis rubra (blacklip abalone) is the source of this 979-nucleotide long non-coding RNA. RefSeq lists it as uncharacterized. The transcript is spliced from 3 exons. Lineage: Eukaryota; Metazoa; Mollusca; Gastropoda; Lepetellida; Haliotidae. The record is from RefSeq and is a predicted model, not a curated record.